Long non-coding RNA from Passer montanus (Eurasian tree sparrow), 251 nucleotides. RefSeq lists it as uncharacterized. The transcript has 3 exons. The record is from RefSeq and is a predicted model, not a curated record. Lineage: Eukaryota; Metazoa; Chordata; Aves; Passeriformes; Passeridae.
GAUACUGCAAGGAUGGAAAUAUGAAUAUGUGAUUUUCCCCUUCCUUUUCCAAAUAUUUCCAGCUGAGAGCAUCAUAUAUGUAUGUUUUGUACAUCUCUGCCCAUGAGCAUUUCAAGCUUUCAUUAACCUGAAUCUCACUGUGGUUCUGUCAAGGAAUUGCAGUAGCUCUGGAGGUGAUGACUGGAAGCCCUGGAAGUGCAAAAUAAUUUUUUUUUCCCAAGGAAAAAUGAAGAAAUUAGCCACAAGAGAAA